Molecule: ribosomal RNA, 439 nt
Filed under: uncultured bacterium
Lineage: Bacteria
Description: partial 16S ribosomal RNA
Rfam family: Bacterial small subunit ribosomal RNA
Source: RNAcentral
CUACGGGGUGCAGCAGUGGGGAAUAUUGCACAAUGGAGGAAACUCUGAUGCAGCAACGCCGCGUGGAGGAUGACACUUUUCGGAGCGUAAACUCCUUUUAUAUAGGAAGAAGAUGACGGUACUAUAUGAAUAAGCGCCGGCUAACUCCGUGCCAGCAGCCGCGGUAAUACGGAGGGCGCAAGCGUUACUCGGAAUCACUGGGCGUAAAGAGCGUGUAGGCGGAUUAAAAGGUCAGAAGUGAAAUCCUAUAGCUUAACUAUAGAACUGCUUCUGAAACUCUUAAUCUAGAAUAUGGGAGAGGUAGAUGGAAUUUCUGGUGUAGCGGUAAAAUCCGUAGAGAUCAGAAGGAAUACCGAUUGCGAAGGCGAUCUACUAGAACAUUAUUGACGCUGAGACGCGAAAGCGUGGGGAGCAAACAGGAUUAGAUACCCCGGUAGUC